AUCUGGUAUGAUAAUUUAUUCUUGGAAUAACUGUUACAUCAGAUAUGCUCUAUAUAUAUAUAUAUAUAAUAUUUCUCUCUGUCUGUCUGUUCCACAUAGGCUCCCAUAAUGUUUGGCCUAUCCAGAUCAAAUUUUAUAAGGUGACUUUCCAUCAUCCUGCAGAUAAUAUAGAUAUAAUCAAGAUCAAUCCAAGAGAUGGGGCACAUUGGGAUUGUGCUUUGUAUCUGUUUGCAUGGGUCCCACACCAUUUGACUUAUCAGGGCUAAAUUUGCAGGAUGACUUUUCAUGACUCUGCAAAUAACAUAGGAUACAAAAAUCAAAAUUUCCCCAAAGGCUGAGGCAUGUUUUGAUUGUUCUAUCUGUUUGUUUCAUUUACAUUUCCACACUAACCUAUUGGCACCAAACUUUGCAAGGUCACGCCCAUGUGACCUUGCAAAUUUUGGGUCAAGGUA
This 452-nucleotide long non-coding RNA is filed under the name Androctonus crassicauda. Lineage: Eukaryota; Metazoa; Arthropoda; Arachnida; Scorpiones; Buthidae. The record is from RNAcentral.